UCCAAAGAUGAAGCGGCACUGGGCUCCGACGGUCGUUUGACAAAACGUUCCGGUCAUGACGGAGAUGCCUUUUUGUGGCAGGCCUAGAAAACCUCGCCCACUGAGA
This 106-nucleotide small nucleolar RNA is filed under the name Penicillium decumbens. RNAcentral describes it as "A. fumigatus snoRNA Afu_513". It matches the Rfam family "A. fumigatus snoRNA Afu_513". The record is from Rfam by way of RNAcentral. Lineage: Eukaryota; Fungi; Ascomycota; Eurotiomycetes; Eurotiales; Aspergillaceae.